UCGUCAAGGAUUGGGUCCUCGUUUAUUGAUCAAGGGUUUCUUUAUUGACGAUGAAAUGGUGAACGUUCUUAAUGCUUAAGGAGUAGCUAAUCAAGCAAUAAAAGAAAGCAAGUAAAAGCAUACAUCAGAAAGGGGAGGGGGGUACAUGUAAUGUACAAGGGAGUGCGGAAAUAAAAUCAUUUAAGUGAAAGUCAAUUCUAAAAUUUAAACUCUAUCUAAACAUGAAAUAGAAUCAAAAUUAAUCACGCAAGAAAUAACAGCUGACAAUGAAUAUACGACAAUCUAUGUUAAUCGACCAAUUAGAAAAUUCUAGAAGUCCUAAAACUAGGGGAACAUGCAAGAUUAACCUAUUUCUAAGUCUAGGGGUAAAAUUGUCAUUUUACAAUUAUGGAUUAAUUUUCUAUACAUGAAAAUGACAAUUAAAUUCUACUAUAUUCUAAACUAAAUUUAAUAUUUCUAAUUAUCUUUUUUCUAAUUUCUAAGAUUUCUAAUUCUAAAACUAUUUACUUUUAAUAUUUCUAAAAAAAUCUAUUACACUAAUCUAAACAUUUUCUAAAUAUUUUUCCUAAUUAAAAUUCUAUAAC
RNAcentral lists this long non-coding RNA (584 nucleotides) under Lathyrus oleraceus (garden pea). RNAcentral's name for it is "Pisum sativum (pea) long non-coding RNA (PSAT_LNC007282)". Lineage: Eukaryota; Viridiplantae; Streptophyta; Magnoliopsida; Fabales; Fabaceae. The record is from RNAcentral.